UACGUAGGGCGCAAGCGUUAUCCGGAAUUAUUGGGCGUAAAGAGCUCGUAGGCGGUUUGUCGCGUCUGUCGUGAAAGCUCGGGGCUUAACCCCAAGUCUGCGGUGGAUACGGGCAGACUAGAGGCAGGUAGGGGAGAACGGAAUUCCCGGUGUAGCGGUGAAAUGCGCAGAUAUCGGGAGGAACACCGGUGGCGAAGGCGGUUCUCUGGGCCUGUACUGACGCUGAGGAGCGAAAGCGUGGGGAGCGAACAGG
This 253-nucleotide ribosomal RNA is filed under the name uncultured bacterium. RNAcentral's name for it is "partial 16S ribosomal RNA". It matches the Rfam family "Bacterial small subunit ribosomal RNA", at positions 524 to 776 of the family's 1533-position model. The record is from RNAcentral.